This 471-nucleotide ribosomal RNA is filed under the name uncultured bacterium. Its description in RNAcentral is "bacterial SSU rRNA". It matches the Rfam family "Bacterial small subunit ribosomal RNA", at positions 65 to 507 of the family's 1533-position model. The record is from RNAcentral.
AACUGAUUGAUGGUGCUUGCACCUGAUUGACGAUGGAUCACCAGUGAGUGGCGGACGGGUGAGUAACACGUAGGUAACCUGCCCCGGAGCGGGGAUAACAUUUGGAAACAGAUGCUAAUACCGCAUAACAACAAAAGCCACAUGGCUUUGUUUGAAAGAUGGCUUUGGCUAUCACUCUGGGAUGGACCUGCGGUGCAUUAGCUAGUUGGUAAGGUAACGGCUUACCAAGGCGAUGAUGCAUAGCCGAGUUGAGAGACUGAUCGGCCACAAUGGAACUGAGACACGGUCCAUACUCCUACGGGAGGCAGCAGUAGGGAAUCUUCCACAAUGGGCGCAAGCCUGAUGGAGCAACACCGCGUGAGUGAAGAAGGGUUUCGGCUCGUAAAGCUCUGUUGUUGGAGAAGAACGUGCGUGAGAGUAACUGUUCACGCAGUGACGGUAUCCAACCAGAAAGUCACGGCUAACUACGUG